This 255-nucleotide small RNA is filed under the name Microtus ochrogaster (prairie vole). RNAcentral's name for it is "Metazoan signal recognition particle RNA (ENSMOCG00000011277.1)". The record is from RNAcentral. Lineage: Eukaryota; Metazoa; Chordata; Mammalia; Rodentia; Cricetidae.
GCCGGGCGAUGGUGGCGCACGCCUUUAAUCCCAGCACUCGGGAGGCAGAGGCAGGCGGAUCUCUGUGAGUUCGAGACCAGCCUAGUCUACAGAGCUAGUUCCAGGACAGGCUCCAAAGCCACAGAGAAACCCUGUCUCGAAAAACCAAAAAAAAAAAAAAAAAAGAUAAGGUUUCUCUGGAGCUUUGGAUCCUGUCCUGGAGCGAGCUCUUGUAGACCAGGCUGGCCUCGAACUCACAGAUAUCUGCCUGUUUCU